RNAcentral lists this transfer RNA (69 nucleotides) under Arion ater ater. Its description in RNAcentral is "tRNA-Asp". The record is from RNAcentral. Lineage: Eukaryota; Metazoa; Mollusca; Gastropoda; Stylommatophora; Arionidae.
AGUCUAGAUUAGUUUAUAAAAAUGUCAUCUUGUCAGGAUGGAGUUACUAUAGAAUAUAGUAUUUAGUUG